GACGAACGCUGGCGGCGUGCCUAAUACAUGCAAGUAGAACGCUGAAGGAGGAGCUUGCUUCUCUGGAUGAGUUGCGAACGGGUGAGUAACGCGUAGGUAACCUGCCUGGUAGCGGGGGAUAACUAUUGGAAACGAUAGCUAAUACCGCAUAACAGUAGAUAUCGCAUGAUAUCUACUUGAAAGGUGCAAUUGCAUCACUACCAGAUGGACCUGCGUUGUAUUAGCUAGUUGGUGAGGUAACGGCUCACCAAGGCGACGAUACAUAGCCGACCUGAGAGGGUGAUCGGCCACACUGGGACUGAGACACGGCCCAGACUCCUACGGGAGGCAGCAGUAGGGAAUCUUCGGCAAUGGACGGAAGUCUGACCGAGCAACGCCGCGUGAGUGAAGAAGGUUUUCGGAUCGUAAAGCUCUGUUGUAAGAGAAGAACGAGUGUGAGAGUGGAAAGUUCACACUGUGACGGUAUCUUACCAGAAAGGGACGGCUAACUACGC
This 494-nucleotide ribosomal RNA is filed under the name uncultured bacterium. RNAcentral describes it as "partial 16S ribosomal RNA". It matches the Rfam family "Bacterial small subunit ribosomal RNA", at positions 28 to 506 of the family's 1533-position model. The record is from RNAcentral.